This 1233-nucleotide ribosomal RNA is filed under the name gut metagenome. Its description in RNAcentral is "bacterial SSU rRNA". It matches the Rfam family "Bacterial small subunit ribosomal RNA", at positions 262 to 1520 of the family's 1533-position model. The record is from RNAcentral.
GGCCCACCAAGGCGACGAUCGGUAGCCGGACUGAGAGGUUGAACGGCCACAUUGGGACUGAGACACGGCCCAGACUCCUACGGGAGGCAGCAGUGGGGAAUAUUGCACAAUGGGGGAAACCCUGAUGCAGCGACGCCGCGUGGAGGAAGAAGGUCUUCGGAUUGUAAACUCCUGUUGUUGAGGAAGAUAAUGACGGUACUCAACAAGGAAGUGACGGCUAACUACGUGCCAGCAGCCGCGGUAAAACGUAGGUCACAAGCGUUGUCCGGAAUUACUGGGUGUAAAGGGAGCGCAGGCGGGAAGACAAGUUGGAAGUGAAAUCCAUGGGCUCAACCCAUGAACUGCUUUCAAAACUGUUUUUCUUGAGUAGUGCAGAGGUAGGCGGAAUUCCCGGUGUAGCGGUGGAAUGCGUAGAUAUCGGGAGGAACACCAGUGGCGAAGGCGGCCUACUGGGCACCAACUGACGCUGAGGCUCGAAAGUGUGGGUAGCAAACAGGAUUAGAUACCCUGGUAGUCCACACUGUAAACGAUGAUUACUAGGUGUUGGAGGAUUGACCCCUUCAGUGCCGCAGUUAACACAAUAAGUAAUCCACCUGGGGAGUACGACCGCAAGGUUGAAACUCAAAGGAAUUGACGGGGGCCCGCACAAGCAGUGGAGUAUGUGGUUUAAUUCGACGCAACGCGAAGAACCUUACCAAGUCUUGACAUCCUGCGACGGUGCUGGAAACAGUGCUUUCCUUCGGGACGCAGAGACAGGUGGUGCAUGGUUGUCGUCAGCUCGUGUCGUGAGAUGUUGGGUUAAGUCCCGCAACGAGCGCAACCCUUAUGGUCAGUUACUACGCAAGAGGACUCUGGCCAGACUGCCGUUGACAAAACGGAGGAAGGUGGGGAUGACGUCAAAUCAUCAUGCCCUUUAUGACUUGGGCUACACACGUACUACAAUGGCGUUAAACAAAGAGAAGCAAGACCGCGAGGUGGAGCAAAACUCAGAAACAACGUCCCAGUUCGGACUGCAGGCUGCAACUCGCCUGCACGAAGUCGGAAUUGCUAGUAAUCGCAGAUCAGCAUGCUGCGGUGAAUACGUUCCCGGGCCUUGUACACACCGCCCGUCACACCAUGAGAGCCGGGGGGACCCGAAGUCGGUAGUCUAACCGCAAGGAGGACGCCGCCGAAGGUAAAACUGGUGAUUGGGGUGAAGUCGUAACAAGGUAGCCGUAGGAGAACCUGCGGCUG